CACGAUAACUCACCAUAAAAAGAUAAUUUGAUAUUUUCAUCAAAUUUUAAAUCUUUUAGAUAGUCAUGAUACAUUGCUAGACAUCAAUCUUAACUUAUGGACUCAUCAGAAUUAAAAGAGUUUAAUUCAAGAAUCAAUUAAGAAGAGUCCUAGUUGAUUGGGACUCUCGAACUGACUUAAUCCAAUCGGAUUAGGGUUACGUCAAGAGUUUGGAUCUACUGCUGGCU
Molecule: long non-coding RNA, 227 nt
Filed under: Elaeis guineensis (African oil palm)
Lineage: Eukaryota; Viridiplantae; Streptophyta; Magnoliopsida; Arecales; Arecaceae
Description: long non-coding RNA (EGUI_LNC038315)
Source: RNAcentral